AGCAAAGGAAAAGGAGAAGAACACAAGUGAAACACUCUAAACUCUCAUUCAAACUUUAUUCCGUCAUAAUUUUUGAUCCAUAGCUCUGAUUGACGAGCCAUCAGUGGCUACGCGUUCGUCUCAGAAUCCUCUACGAAACCCACCCAACAAUUUGGUGUGCUCAAGUAGUGCGGAAUCACUGAGCCUUGUCCCAAUUCUCCGUUGGUAAGAUGAAAUUAUAUAUAUUGGUGGCAAAUUUGUGGAGUUGGAAGCUGAAUUUUCUAUUUGGAGAGAUUUGGAGCUUUGGGUUUUAUGGAACGGUGGUCAAUUGUGGUGUUCCGAGUUUAGAGAAGAAAUUGGCCAAGAUGCAGGUUGAGAAGGACCACUCUAUAUUCUGGAGACUCGGGUGAAGCGAAGAACUCUUGGGGCUCAGGGACGUAUUUUGCUUAUAUUUAUGUAUGUAUAUAGAUUCUCCACCUUGUAUUUUCUGUUUGUCCCUCUUAGAGGUUGGCUCGGAGAAACAGAUUGUCAUUUUCUGCUUUGGGUCAUUUUGGGAUUCUCUUAUAUAUAUGUAUGUAUAUACUU
Arachis duranensis is the source of this 564-nucleotide long non-coding RNA. RefSeq lists it as uncharacterized. Lineage: Eukaryota; Viridiplantae; Streptophyta; Magnoliopsida; Fabales; Fabaceae. The transcript has 4 exons. The record is from RefSeq and is a predicted model, not a curated record.